Molecule: ribosomal RNA, 305 nt
Filed under: uncultured bacterium
Lineage: Bacteria
Description: bacterial SSU rRNA
Rfam family: Bacterial small subunit ribosomal RNA
Source: RNAcentral
UUUCCCUACGGGGGGCAGCAGUGGGGAAUAUUGCACAAUGGGGGAAACCCUGAUGCAGCGACGCCGCGUGAGUGAAGAAGUAUUUCGGUAUGUAAAGCUCUAUCAGCAGGGAAGAAAUAGCGACCUUUGGGUCGCCAGACGGUACCUGACUAAGAAGCCCCGGCUAACUACGUGCCAGCAGCCGCGGUAAUACGUAGGGGGCAAGCGUUAUCCGGAUUUACUGGGUGUAAAGGGAGCGUAGACGGCGUGCCAAGUCUGAUGUGAAAGGCCGGGGCUCAACCCCGGGACUGCAUUGGAAACUGGCA